Molecule: transfer RNA, 76 nt
Filed under: Caerostris extrusa
Lineage: Eukaryota; Metazoa; Arthropoda; Arachnida; Araneae; Araneidae
Description: tRNA-Asn
Rfam family: tRNA
About the family: Transfer RNA (tRNA) molecules are approximately 80 nucleotides in length. Their secondary structure includes four short double-helical elements and three loops (D, anti-codon, and T loops). Further hydrogen bonds mediate the characteristic L-shaped molecular structure. tRNAs have two regions of fundamental functional importance: the anti-codon, which is responsible for specific mRNA codon recognition, and the 3' end, to which the tRNAs corresponding amino acid is attached (by aminoacyl-tRNA synthetases). tRNAs cope with the degeneracy of the genetic code in two manners: having more than one tRNA (with a specific anti-codon) for a particular amino acid; and 'wobble' base-pairing, i.e. permitting non-standard base-pairing at the 3rd anti-codon position.
Source: RNAcentral
GCCUCCGUGGCGCAAUCGGCUAGCGCGUUCGGCUGUUAACCGAAAGGUUGGUGGUUCGAGCCCACCCGGGGCGGUG